UAGCUGGUUUUAGAGGAUGAUCAGCAACACUGGGACUGAGACACGGCCCAGACUCCUACGGGAGGCAGCAGUGGGGAAUCUUAGACAAUGGGCGCAAGCCUGAUCUAGCCAUGCCGCGUGAGUGAUGAAGGCCUUAGGGUCGUAAAGCUCUUUCGCCAGAGAUGAUAAUGACAGUAUCUGGUAAAGAAACCCCGGCUAACUCCGUGCCAGCAGCCGCGGUAAUACGGAGGGGGUUAGCGUUGUUCGGAAUUACUGGGCGUAAAGCGCACGUAGGCGGAUCAGAAAGUUGGGGGUGAAAUCCCGGGGCUCAACCCCGGAACGGCCUCCAAAACUCCUGGUCUUGAGUUCGAGAGAGGUGAGUGGAAUUCCGAGUGUAGAGGUGAAA
This 385-nucleotide ribosomal RNA is filed under the name Seohaeicola sp. RNAcentral's name for it is "bacterial SSU rRNA". It matches the Rfam family "Bacterial small subunit ribosomal RNA", at positions 284 to 686 of the family's 1533-position model. Lineage: Bacteria; Pseudomonadati; Pseudomonadota; Alphaproteobacteria; Rhodobacterales; Roseobacteraceae. The record is from RNAcentral.